UACGGAGGAUCCGAGCGUUAUCCGGAUUUAUUGGGUUUAAAGGGUGCGCAGGCGGGAGAUUAAGUCGGCGGUGAAAUUUUGCAGCUCAACUGUAAAAGUGCCUUCGAAACUGGUUUCCUUGAGUGUAGAUGAAGUAGGCGGAACUUGUGGUGUAGCGGUGAAAUGCAUAGAUAUCACGAGGAACUCCGAUUGCGCAGGCAGCUUACUAAACUACUACUGACGCUCAGGCACGAAGGCGUGGGGAUCAAACAGGAUUAGAUACCCUGGUA
Molecule: ribosomal RNA, 269 nt
Filed under: uncultured prokaryote
Description: partial 16S ribosomal RNA
Rfam family: Bacterial small subunit ribosomal RNA
Source: RNAcentral